AUUCCAGCUCCAAUAGCGUAUAUUAAUGUUGUUGCAGUUAAAAAGCUCGUAGUUGGAUUUCUGCGCCGCGCAACUCGGUCCGCUGCACUGCAGUGUGAUGUGUGGUUGGAGCGUCGCAUCCUUGUGGGGACUGUUUGUGUCAUUAAUUUGAUGGAUUCCGGAACCGCAUCGUUUACUGUGAAAAAAUUAGAGUGUUCAAAGCAGGCUUAUGCCGUGAAUACAUUAGCAUGGAAUAACGAAUGGGUCUACAAUUUGGUUGAUUGUAGAUUGCGAUUAAUAGGGACAGUUGGGGGCAUUAGUAUUUAAUUGUCAGAGGUGAAAUUCUUGGAUUAGUUAAAGACUAACGUAUGCGAAAGCAUUUGCCAAGGAUGUUUUCAUCA
This 380-nucleotide ribosomal RNA is filed under the name Stramenopiles sp. MAST-3J. RNAcentral's name for it is "partial small subunit ribosomal RNA". It matches the Rfam family "Eukaryotic small subunit ribosomal RNA", at positions 582 to 975 of the family's 1831-position model. The record is from RNAcentral.